AAUUCGUACACUAUGUAUAAAAUAUAUUGUUUGAGGUAAAACUACUAGGUUGGUUACGUGUCAGCGUUUCGGUGAGUUUGCCCUCACUUAAUAAAUGACUUACUGUACAUACAUAUUCAUUGAUCUUUGUUAUAGAAUUCAACAUCUUAACAUUUUAUUUAAUCCAUUGUUCAGAUUAUUUUGCUAUUGCUAAAUUGUAAAAAAUGAGCAAUAAUUAAUUUACCAGGAAAGCAUCAUUUCAAUUUUAAGCAUUAAUUGUACAAUACUUUAAUUCACCCUGUUAUUUGUAAAGGAACACUAUAUAUUUAAUUAUUAUCUGGUUAUUGUUUUAGAUUCCAUUAUUCACACGGACUGUUAUUUGUUAAAAAUAAAGUGAUUGAGAUUAAUGUUUGUGGUGAUAAUGAUGAACUCACUAUUUGUAUACCUUAGAUAGAAUUUCCAGUUGCCUUCAUUUGGCAAACAAAAUGUUCAUGAAUUUAAUCCUGCAGAUAUUGAUUAUACUACAAACACAGCCUUUUAUAAUCAGAAUUUUUUGCUCAAUGAUCAACAUAUUUGAAAUUAGAAUUGGAUUAUCCUUAUUAUAAUUUACCCAUUAGCAUAAAAUCAAUAAUGAACACUAUAAAAUAUCAAAUGAUCACCCUGCUGGUGAUAUGGUCACAAAUUGCACUAACCAGCUAGUGCAUUCAUCAGUCAGGGAAUUUACUCUACUUUACACUGGUAGUAUAUAGGAUUUAAGUCUGAGCCAACAAGUCCUGCUAUUGAUCAUCAAGACACAACCUAGUGUUCAUCAUUGACAAUUCUCAGUGCAGAAUAAUUUAAACUUACAUUUUCUGGUUACAAUUUUUAAACAAGAAAUUUAUUAUGUUUUUAUCAUUAUCACCUUUGCUAACCACCUGCUUUUCCCCAUCAAUGCACAACCCUAUCAUAGUCAUGACAUUUCUCCACGCUUGUACAUACUAUACUUCAAAAAUAUUAUUGGGGCAAAUUUUUUUAUGAAAAAUUUGGUGAAUAGCAAAGGAAUAAUUGAUCUUGUAUGAGUCUUGUCAAUGAUCCCACAAGGGCCCUAAGGUACCUGGUGAAAUGAAUAUAAAAUUAUAAUAUAGGCCAAUCCUAGCAUGAUAUGUUUAUUAACACCAGUACUUGGUGGUAUUGUUCCCCCUCUCCUCAAACAUGUGACUUACAGAUAUGUAUUUGGGACAUUGCAUGUUGGUUUGUGUAGGUGUUUUAUAUCUUAUUUCCAUUUUGAUGUUGUAUAUGGUUUAAGAAUAAGGCAUCCUGUAAUAAUUCUGUGGCAUCAUUUUUGUGUACUUGCUUUUAAUGAGGAAUGGCAUAUGCGAGUCGUAUCACAAUAAAUCUUGCAUCCUUUCAUAUCGUUUUCUUAUGUAUUCUUUAAUUUUUCUUUCCAUCAUCACCUCACAUUUUGUACUUGCUUUUGAAAAAAUGAAGAAUAAAGUUCUUCUGUGCAGCUCUAUGAGGUGGAAUGUGCCCCUUAUAAGAUGGCAUUAUUAAUUAUUAUCUCUUCUCCCUUCCAUUUUUCUCUUAUUCACCCAUUAUUAUCAGCUUUCUCCAUCAUCUUUUUAUUAUUCUUCCUCACCUGCCCCCACUUCCUAAGAUUAUAUUAUUAUUUCCUCUCCUCAUCCCUUGUUAUUUGUGUUUUUUUUUUUCUCUCCUUUGAUUCCUACUUCUCUUCAUUCCUUUCAUUUGUGUUUCCCUAAUUCCUUUUGCAUCAUCUCUUCAAUUCAUCCCUCUCUAUGAUUCCUGCAUCUCCAUACCAUUGGACCUCCCUCAUCAUCCUACUCAUUCUCCUCACCAAGUGGUACAGUAAUGGUCUAUAUCUACUAUUGAAUAUUUGUGUGUCAGUCACAUGACAUUCUUUUCCUUUCCUAGAUCUCUAGAACAUCUUUCUGUCAUUCAGAUUUUUUCUGAAACAAAUUUACAGUUAAUAUUUCACUAAACAUGCACGUAAUGCCUUGUUGCUCUUUGUGGCACCUUAUUGGAAUAAAUAACUUCUAAUUAAUUCUUGACAAUUUUGUACAAUAAUUGCAGAAUGUAAUAUGAUCCCUAUGUCACAUUUCUUAGAUAAUUGUAUCAUGUCAUAAAUAUUUCUUGAUAAUUGUGCCAUAGAUUGCAGUUUCUAGACCAGUAACGUAGCAGGUGCAGAUUUGUUGGCCAAAUAUUUUGUUACCUUAUUUCCUUCACAUGUCAGGCAUAGUAUCUGUGUUCAUUCAGCAUCCUUCCUUGUGUUAACCUAUACAAUAACUCUUUUAUUUUAUUUUUAAUUUAUUCAUCUUCCCACUUGCAAAUAAACAAUUAAAAUAUUUAUAAUGAGAUAAAGUUGCCAGUGACUGGAAAAGGCCAACAGGUGAAUAAUCUAGGCACCUGGUGGCCAAUCCUGGCAAUUUCUGCUUUCCCAUGGCAAGAUUCACAUUGUGCCUUCCCACAGCAGUCUUCACAUUGAGCAUUAAGUCAUCGUGGCUUCCCAUGGCAGCAACAUUCAUUGCAUUCACAUUGAAUUUCAGUCAUCAUGCUUAGCAUUAGGUUCAUUCUGGCGUGGUUGUGUAUCACAGUGGCGGACCUUAGGGAAAAUUGCAGGGUAUGUUAGGUAUUGGGAUGUCUAGGAUGUGCGAGAGGUGUGCACGCCUCCAUCCCCCAGAAAAAAAAAAUACUUGCCCAUCCCCUAGUCGUGCCCACGCCCACAAAUCAUGCUCAAGAAGUUAAAAAUUAUUUUGCGAGUUAGCCGCUUCACCUAAUCAUCAAUCCCCAUCUUCCCACCCCCAUCAGCUUCCUUACAUUCCCAGUUUUUCCCCCAAAAAGAAAAGCCAUUGUGAGAAGUAGACAAUCCUCCUAUAAAAUCGAUUACAUACGCCUAAAUUGUCAUAUUUUUCGGCGGCUUUGUCCAAUGGACCAGUUUUAGAUAUUUAGAACGACCACGCCUACAUCGGGCUACCCCAGCAUA
Molecule: long non-coding RNA, 2956 nt
Organism: Anneissia japonica
Lineage: Eukaryota; Metazoa; Echinodermata; Crinoidea; Comatulida; Comatulidae
Exons: 3
Source: RefSeq, a predicted model, not a curated record